RNAcentral lists this long non-coding RNA (202 nucleotides) under Elaeis guineensis (African oil palm). Its description in RNAcentral is "long non-coding RNA (EGUI_LNC058215)". The record is from RNAcentral. Lineage: Eukaryota; Viridiplantae; Streptophyta; Magnoliopsida; Arecales; Arecaceae.
AUCUAGCAAUGAUAUCCGACGAUCGGAUAGGUCGAAUGUGUAGAACAACAUCCUUAGAACCCAUGUGGAUAUAGUUUUCAUAUAAUUCAUCCCCUUGACCAAAAUGAUCAUAGGAUACCCUAGAGUUCAACUGUCAACUCUGAUCAGGUUAUCCACAUUGUAUUUCAAAAUAUCAAAUCCAUCUGAUGGAUUAUCCUGGCCA